AGAUAUUGGAACUGUAUAGGUGAAGUAUGUGUGUGUGUGUGUGUGUGUGUGUAUAUAUAUAUAUAUACACACACACACUUUUGUGUAAUAAAAUA
This 95-nucleotide microRNA precursor is filed under the name Pelodiscus sinensis (Chinese soft-shelled turtle). RNAcentral's name for it is "miRNA (ENSPSIG00000019371.1)". Lineage: Eukaryota; Metazoa; Chordata; Testudines; Trionychidae. The record is from RNAcentral.